This 707-nucleotide ribosomal RNA is filed under the name bacterium. RNAcentral describes it as "bacterial SSU rRNA". It matches the Rfam family "Bacterial small subunit ribosomal RNA", at positions 61 to 765 of the family's 1533-position model. The record is from RNAcentral.
GUCGAGGGGUAUAGAGAUACUUGUAUUUCUAGAGACCGGCGAACGGGUGCGUAACGCGUAUGCAACCUACCUUUAUCAGGGGGAUAGCCCAGAGAAAUUUGGAUUAAUACCGCAUAAUAAGAGUGAUGGCAUCAUCAUUUUUUGAAAGAUUUAUUGGAUAGAGAUGGGCAUGCGUAGGAUUAGCUAGUUGGUAAGGUAACGGCUUACCAAGGCGACGAUCCUUAGGGGCUCUGAGAGGAGUAACCCCCACACUGGUACUGAGAUACGGACCAGACUCCUACGGGAGGCAGCAGUAGGGAAUAUUGGUCAAUGGACGAGAGUCUGAACCAGCCAUGCCGCGUGCAGGAAGACGGCCCNUCUGGGUUGUAAACUGCUUUUAUAUGGGAAGAAAAGACUCCUGCGGGAGGCAUUGACGGUACCAUAGGAAUAAGCCACGGCUAACUACGUGCCAGCAGCCGCGGUAAUACGUAGGUGGCGAGCGUUAUCCGGAUUUAUUGGGUUUAAAGGGUGCGUAGGCGGCCUGUUAAGUCGGUGGUUAAAGGUAGCAGCUUAACUGUUUUACAUGCCAUCGAUACUGACAGGCUUGAGUUAUCAGAAGGCAGGCGGAAUUUCUGGUGUAGCGGUGAAAUGCAUAGAUACCAGAAGGAACACCUAUUGCGAAGGCAGCUUGCUGCAGAUAAACUGACGCUGAUGCACGAAAGCGUGGG